UUGCGGUUAAAAAGCUCGUAGUUGGAUUUCUGUUGAGGAUGACCGGUCCGCUCUUUGAGCGCGUAUCUGGUUCAGCCUUGGCAUCCUCUUGGGGAACGCUACUGUGCUUGAUUGCAUGGGGCGGUAUUCAAGACUUUUACUUUGAGGAAAUUAGAGUGUUCACUGCAAGCGUUAGCAAUUGAAUACAUUAGCAUGGAAUAAUAAUAUAGGACCUUGGUACUAUUUUGUUGGUUUCUAGAACUAAGGUAAUGAUUAAUAGGGACAAUUGGGGGCAUUCGUAUUAACGCGUCAGAGGUGGAAUUCUUAGAUUGCGUUACGACGAACUACUGCGAAAGCAUUUGCCAAGGAUGUUUUCAUUGAUCAAGAACGAAAGUAUGGGGAUCGAAGACGCUUAGAUACCGUCGUAGUCUAUACCAUAAACUAUGCCAACUAGAGAUUGGAGGUCGUUCUCUUUAUGACUCCUUCAGCACCUUAUGAGAAAUCAAAGUCUUUGGGUUCCGGGGGGAGUAUGGUCGCAAGGCUGAAACUUAAAGGAAUUGACGGAAGGGCACCACCAGGAGUGGAGCCUGCGGCUUAAUUUGACUCAACACGGGAAAACUUACCAGGUCCAGACAUAGUAAGGAUUGACAGAUUGAUAGCUCU
RNAcentral lists this ribosomal RNA (642 nucleotides) under uncultured marine eukaryote. RNAcentral's name for it is "SSU rRNA". It matches the Rfam family "Eukaryotic small subunit ribosomal RNA", at positions 613 to 1258 of the family's 1831-position model. The record is from RNAcentral.